GAGGAUUAGGACUUCAGAUGGAGAAGUCACAUAUUUUAUGAAGCACAAAGGUCCUGGCAGGUGUCCCCUGGCAGCUCUCUCUGUUCCCCGGGGAGACACAGUCACACACAAGCCGGGAGGAGGAGGGAAGGAAAAUAGGGGUGAGUUGGAGGGAAGACUUCAGGAUAGGACAAUACUGUAAGUAACAGGAUGAUUACAGCAGCACAGAGCAAUCAGAGGUGGGGAGUGGCAGGGAACGCAGGAACAAAUGCUCCUGAAGGGCCCUGAAUGCUAAACAAAAGGUCCAGACCUUGAUCUUAAGAACAGACAGCCCAGAAAGGCUCUGAGUGACACUCUAUGACCAGGGACAGGGAAAUCGGAAAGGAAGUUUAUCAAGUUGAAGGUUAAACGAGAUCCUGAAUGUGAGAGGACAUGUCACCACGGGUCAAAAGAGUUGCUCUAAAGAGAGCAUUAGUGCAUGAGUGAAAUAAGACAUGGAAGGUAGCCGUGGUGUGUGAGGAGUCAAGAGAAUGGGCUGUUCUGACAGAGACAUGAAUGGGAAGAUGAAGAGCAUCACUUCCAAAUCCUUUUGCAAACCCUCUGUUUUCUCUGCCAGCCACACCUCUGAAGAUCAAGCAGCAUCCUGCCUUACCUGGGUUCCAAAUCGGAAAUGCUUUCUAGAAAUCCUGAAUUUCCCAAACUCAAAUCUCCUGGGUUCAGAUCGGAACCUAGCAUUUCAGCAAAGUUCCCAAAUCAGUCUUAGCUCCCAGACGGCCUUACAAUCUGGAAGCAGUGGCUUGGACAGUCAUUAGUUGCCCCGGUAAUCUUUCUGCAUACAAUAAGUAGCCCUUGCUAUACAGUUUCAGGAAUUGUUUAGAUAGGGGUGGGGGGAGUGUGUGCUUUGUGACAGGUUCUCAAGUAACCCAGGCUAGCCUCAAACUCACAACUGAACCAGAGAUUGACCUUGAACGUCAGAUCGCCCUGCUUCUACUUCCAUAGUGCCAAGAUUAAAGACUGUGAGAGCAAACUUGUCACACC
RNAcentral lists this long non-coding RNA (1017 nucleotides) under Mus musculus (house mouse). RNAcentral describes it as "long non-coding RNA chr7:109494096-109495113". The record is from RNAcentral. Lineage: Eukaryota; Metazoa; Chordata; Mammalia; Rodentia; Muridae.